This 556-nucleotide ribosomal RNA is filed under the name Melanina gundecimermaniae. Its description in RNAcentral is "SSU rRNA". It matches the Rfam family "Eukaryotic small subunit ribosomal RNA", at positions 165 to 724 of the family's 1831-position model. Lineage: Eukaryota; Fungi; Ascomycota; Eurotiomycetes; Chaetothyriales. The record is from RNAcentral.
CUUUACAUGCUAAUAACCUCGACUUCNGAAGGGGUGUAUUUAUUAGAUAAAAAACCAAUGCCCUUCGGGGCUCCUUGGUGAAUCAUAAUAACUUCACGAAUCGCAUGGCCUUGCGCCGGUGAUGGUUCAUUCAAAUUUCUGCCCUAUCAACUUUCGAUGGUAAGAUAGAGGCUUACCNUGGUCUUAACGGGUAACGGGGAAUUAGGGUUCUAUUCCGGAGAGGGAGCCUGAGAAACGGCUACCACAUCCAAGGAAGGCAGCAGGCGCGCAAAUUACCCAAUCCCGACACGGGGAGGUAGUGACAAUAAAUACUGAUACGGGGCUCUUUUGGGUCUCGUAAUUGGAAUGAGUACAAUCUAAAUCCCUUAACGAGGAACAAUUGGAGGGCAAGUCUGGUGCCAGCAGCCGCGGUAAUUCCAGCUCCAAUAGCGUAUAUUAAAGUUGUUGCCGUUAAAAAGCUCGUAGUUGAACCUUGGGCCGGGCUGACCUGUCCUCCUAAUCGAGCGCACGGGUUCGGUCUGGCCUUUCCUUCUGGGGAACCCCAUGUCCUUCACUG